Anser brachyrhynchus (Pink-footed goose) is the source of this 1544-nucleotide long non-coding RNA. Lineage: Eukaryota; Metazoa; Chordata; Aves; Anseriformes; Anatidae. The record is from Ensembl.
ACCCUACUCUUGAAAAACAUGUAAAAAAUCCCUGAAAACCACUGUUGGAUUAUUCAUUUUCUCUUUUGUUUUUCCUACUUGAUGAUAUUUUUAUAUCCAGUUACUACUAUUGUAUAUUCUUCAGCAGGCUCUAGGCGUGAAGGUCAGAGAUAAAUUCUUCCUGCUGCGAUGUUUUCUGGGCCCUGAAAUCACAUAUAAUGUUCAUUUUCUUUGCAUUAUUUUGUGAUGUUACUUGGUUGAACUAAAGAUUGAUUUGACAUUAUCUUUGUUGGGCGUGGGGAGUUGAAAGGGAGAGAAAGGAAAGGUUUUUUUUUUUUUGUUAACUUGCAGCUGAAGAGGCUUGCAGAUUUGGCCUUGCUUUGUUUUCGUCACUGAAAAUCUUUUCAGAAAGGCACGUUACCAUAACUGAAAUAGGUGUAGCAACACAUGAAUGUCUUCCCUCUGAGAAAUGCACUGUACCAUUUUAUCAUCUGGUGCAAUAAGAUGCCAUCAUACAGUGAGAUCAUCCUUCUGAUCCUGUCCAGCCUGGAGUGGCCUGACAGUGCUGCUGACCUGCUGUGUGAAUGGGGAGACUCUGUGCUUAAUUCAGUGCUUCACCGGUCCUGGCUAGAUGUCACCAACAGCUGUGGAUUACAUGACACGUCCAGAAUAUGAUGAGGAAGAGUUUUAUUUCUUCAAGUUUUGUAUGUUAUAGGUAGAGAGAAACUAAAAAAAAAAAAAAGCUUUAAAUUCUCCUUAGAGACUUAUCUCAGAAUUGUUCUGUAUUUUACAGGAAGUCUAUCAGAUCCCUUUCACAGUUCUCAUCACCUUUGUUAUGCUCCUGAAACACUGCUCCAUUCCUCCCUUCCAAAUGUCUUCCUCCAUCUUCAGGUUAUUGCAGGGUGGCUACUGCAUAUUUUGUUGUGUGACUAAAUGCAGAUCCCUUCAAAGAUUAUCAAUGUUCCUCAGGCUGCUGGAAGGGACACUAAUGAGCAAUCUGUAUUUUUUUCCCUUGCCUCCUUUUUGUAAUCCUGUAUGAAGCAUGUUCACACCAUGCACCUCAUGCAGGAAUACAUUAUUUAGUACACAGAUAACUUGGUUAUCUGUGGAGCUUUGUGCUUCUUGUUCUGAGUGAGCCCCACUAUACAUCUUUCUGAGGUUUAUACUCAUGCUUGUUCCUUUAAAAUCUUCCCUGUCUAGACUCUUGACUCUUGAGCUAGACUCUGAUUGGGAACUGAAUGUAGCUAGAAUUCAGAUAAUUAGAUUUUUUACCUUUCCCCCCACCUGCUAUUUUUUUUUUUUGGGGGGGGGGAGGCAUGUUUCAGGAAAAAUGAAAGCCAAAAAUUAGAUCUAUAUUUAAGUAUUGUCACAGUAAGAAAAGUAGAAGAAAUCAUUAACCAUGGAAAAGAUCCGCACUGGCUGAAAUGUAUGGUGUUACGUGUGCUUGUACAGUCAGUACAAAACAGUGGUGCAUUGUCUUUGUUUCACGUUUGUUCGAACAGAAAAGCUGGAUUAUAAUGCUGAGAUAACAAUUGAUAUCCAAAUAAAUUGUUACUGAACCUUCA